Molecule: long non-coding RNA, 1374 nt
Filed under: Malus domestica (apple)
Lineage: Eukaryota; Viridiplantae; Streptophyta; Magnoliopsida; Rosales; Rosaceae
Description: long non-coding RNA (MDOM_LNC000059)
Source: RNAcentral
AAAAAAAAAACCAAAACGUCUCUAAUUUCUUCGUUAUAGCUUCGUUUCAUGAACGGUUUGCAUCUACGCAUUUAUGAGAUCGAGCUCUAUCCAAAGAUAUAAAUUGUGACCUUGAAAUUCCUACGAGUUUUAAAUAAAUAGUUUCCAAACUUCACUUUUCGUAACUUGUUUAAUAAAAAAUCUAAAUUCAAACAAAUUAACAUAAAUUCUUGAAAAAUAAUAUAAAACCUCAAUAAUACAAAUACGUUGAUUAUAACAGUAAAAUCUAGUAACGGGAUUUCACACUUAGCCCCCUAAUCCAUCAGUCUAAUGCAUCGUUCGGCCUUCGAAAAGAUUAUAAAACUAGAAAGGUUGUGGGUUAUAACAUUCAAACUUGGGCUCUAAGCCAUUCGAGGGAAUAGUUGAAAGGGCGAUCUGAAAUUCAUCCAACUCUGAACUCUGACCCUGAGUACGACUACUUCUAUCCCAGACCAACAUACUAAGUCAAGUAUGUCAUGUGACAUCAUGUGUUAAGCAUGUCCGAAGAGGGCAUCAAUGCUGGGCAAUCCCUAAAAGGAAUUUUAUUCCAAAAGAGCUUUGAUACGCAAAAAAUUCUUUAGCCAAGUCAGCUAAGGUAGUCAGAUUGGAAACACUCAGGUCCGACGCAUGAGGUCUAAUAGAUUGUUAAGGUGUUUUCGACUCACAUGCAAGCCACCAAGUCUCCAAAUAACCUUUGUUUAAGAUUCACUGAAGACAAUAAGCAAUUGGAACUAAGAAGGAAAUCUUUUCUUGGCAUCACGUUGUAAGUAUCAAAACCCAUGAUUCUGAAGUGAGGCAAGGUAGGAAGAUGAAAAUAUUUCAACUUGUUGCAAGUACAAUUCAAGAGUUUCUCACCCUUAAUCUGAUAAAUGCAUUUUUGCUAAUACAGAGAGAAAGGUUUUCCAUAGGUUUAAACCUGAUAUUGGAAUAAGAUGGUACUACAAUUGACACGUCCCGACCCCAAUAUUCUAUGAAUACCCGGAUAGGCACGUGUUGGCCGACACCCGAGGGUGAUGAAAGUCAUUUAUUGAAUACAAGAGUAAUGAUUAGGAGAAAAUGAACAUGAAUAAUCAUUAGAAUAGAAAGGUAAUAAACAAAGUUUAAGGAAAUGUCUAGAGUGCACAGAAUACGUUCUAAUUCAAGAUCACAAAAGGAAAGAUCAUUACAAGAUAUCACACAAAUGAGUGAUAGAUUGUUACUGGUAGGGGAAUGCCUCGUACGUUGUGUUGUAGUCUUCGUUUCUAAGACCUGAAUGGAGAGUUAGGGUGCUACCAAGUGGUAGCUAGGGAGUGGAGGAGAAAAUAAAAAUGUUUAAUUUCAAUAAAACUUUGGGAAUUUAUAAAAUUACAUAUAAAU